RNAcentral lists this ribosomal RNA (791 nucleotides) under uncultured bacterium. RNAcentral's name for it is "bacterial SSU rRNA". It matches the Rfam family "Bacterial small subunit ribosomal RNA", at positions 8 to 796 of the family's 1533-position model. The record is from RNAcentral.
AGAGUUUGAUCAUGGCUCAGAUUGAACGCUGGCGGCAUGCUUUACACAUGCAAGUCGAACGGUAACGCGGGGGCAACCCUGGCGACGAGUGGCGAACGGGUGAGUAAUACAUCGGAACGUGCCCGGUAGUGGGGGAUAGCCCGGCGAAAGCCGGAUUAAUACCGCAUACGACCUAUGGGUGAAAGCGGGGGAUCGAAAGACCUCGCGCUAUUGGAGCGGCCGAUGGCAGAUUAGCUUGUUGGUGGGGUAAAAGCCUACCAAGGCGACGAUCUGUAGCUGGUCUGAGAGGACGACCAGCCACACUGGGACUGAGACACGGCCCAGACUCCUACGGGAGGCAGCAGUGGGGAAUUUUGGACAAUGGGCGCAAGCCUGAUCCAGCAAUGCCGCGUGUGUGAUGAAGGCCUUCGGGUUGUAAAGCACUUUUAGUGGGAACGAAACGGUUCGGGCUAAUACCCUGAACUAAUGACGGUACCCGCAGAAUAAGCACCGGCUAACUACGUGCCAGCAGCCGCGGUAAUACGUAGGGUGCAAGCGUUAAUCGGAAUUACUGGGCGUAAAGCGUGCGCAGGCGGUUUUGUAAGACCGAUGUGAAAUCCCCGGGCUUAACCUGGGAACUGCAUUGGUGACUGCAAGGCUUGAGUGUGUCAGAGGGAGGUGGAAUUCCGCGUAGCAGUGAAAUGCGUAGAUAUGCGGAGGAACACCGAUGGCGAAGGCAGCCUCCUGGGAUAACACUGACGCUCAUGCACGAAAGCGUGGGGAGCAAACAGGAUUAGAUACCCUAGUAGUCC